AGAGUUUGAUCAUGGCUCAGAUUGAACGCUGGCGGCAGGCCUAACACAUGCAAGUCGAACGGUAACAGAAAGCAGCUUGCUGCUUUGCUGACGAGUGGCGGACGGGUGAGUAAUGUCUGGGAAACUGCCCGAUGGAGGGGGAUAACUACUGGAAACGGUAGCUAAUACCGCAUAACGUCGCAAGACCAAAGAGGGGGACCUUCGGGCCUCUUGCCAUCGGAUGUGCCCAGAUGGGAUUAGCUAGUAGGUGGGGUAAAGGCUCACCUAGGCGACGAUCCCUAGCUGGUCUGAGAGGAUGACCAGCCGCACUGGAACUGAGUCACGGUCCAGACUCCUACGGGAGGCAGCAGUGGGGAAUAUUGCACAAUGGGCGCAAGCCUGAUGCAGCCAUGCCGCGUGUAUGAAGAAGGCCUUCGGGUUGUAAAGUACUUUCAGCGGGGAGGAAGGGAGUAAAGUUAAUACCUUUGCUCAUUGACGUUACCCGCAGAAGAAGCACCGGCUAACUCCGUGCCAGCAGCCGCGGUAAUAUGGAGGGUGCAAGCGUUAAUCGGAAUUACUGGGCGUAAAGCGCACGCAGGCGGUUUGUUAAGUCAGAUGUGAAAUCCCCGGGCUCAACCCGGGAACUGCAUCUGAUACUGGCAAGCUUGAGUCUCGUAGAGGGGGGUAGAAUUCCAGGUGUAGCGGUGAAAUGCGUAGAGAUCUGGAGGAAUACCGGUGGCGAAGGCGGCCCCCUGGACGAAGACUGACGCUCAUGUGCGAAAGCGUGGGGAGCAAACAGGAUUAGAUACCCUGGUAGUCCA
This 800-nucleotide ribosomal RNA is filed under the name uncultured bacterium. Its description in RNAcentral is "bacterial SSU rRNA". It matches the Rfam family "Bacterial small subunit ribosomal RNA", at positions 8 to 797 of the family's 1533-position model. The record is from RNAcentral.